UGCUUGUCUUCAAAGAUUAAGCCAUGCAUGUCUAUGCACACGCCCUUGAAUGGUGAAGCCGCGAAAAGCUCAUUACAACAGCCAUAGUUUAUUGGAUGUGUACGUUCCUACAAGGACACCUGCGGUAAUUCUGGAGCUAAUACUUGCAAUAAACGACGACCUUACGGAAGUCGUGCAUUUGUUAGACUAAACCAAUCGGUUCUUCGGAACCGCCAUUUGGUGAACUCUGAAUAACUUAGCUGAUCGCACAGUCUCGUACUGGCGACGAAUCUUUCAAGUGUCUGCCUUAUCAACUUUCGAUGGUAGUUUACACGACUACCAUGGUUGUAACGGGUAACGGAGAAUAAGGGUUCGACUCCGGAGAGGGAGCCUGAGAAACGGCUACCACAUCCAAGGAAGGCAGCAGGCGCGCAAAUUACCCAAUCUCAGCACGAGGAGGUAGUGACGAAAAAUAACGAGGUGGCUCUCUACGAGGUCCAUCAUCGGAAUGGGUACAAUUUAAAUCCUUUAACGAGGAUCUAUUGGAGGGCAAGUCUGGUGCCAGCAGCCGCGGUAAUUCCAGCUCCAAUAGCGUAUACUAAAGUUGUUGCGGUUAAAAAGCUCGUAGUUGGAUCUGCGCUCGGUGAAAGCGGUCGCCCGAUGGGUUGUUACUGCUUCUCCCGGGCUAACCAUUCGGUUUUCCCUUGAUGCUCUUCAUUGAGUGUCCUGGGUGACCGGAACGUUUACUUUGAAAAAAUUAGAGUGCUCAAAGCAGGCGAUUUGCCCGAAUAUUCGUGCAUGGAAUAAUAAAAGAGGUCCUUGUAGCCUUUUAUUGGUUAUCGCUACGAGGAAAUGAUCGAAGGGGACAGACGGGGGCAUUUGUAUUGCGACGUUAGAGGUGAAAUUCUUGGAUCGUCGCAAGACAAACUACUGCGAAAGCAUUUGCCAAGAAUGUUUUCAUCAAUCAAGAACGAAAGUCUGAGGUUCGACAGCGAUCAGAUACCGCUUUAGUUCAGACCGUAAACGAUGCCAUCUGGCGAUCCACCGGCGUUAUGUAUGACUCGGUGGGCAGCCACCGGUAAACCUUUAAGUCAGGUUCCGGGGGAAGUAUGGUUGCAAAGCUGAAACUUAAAGGAAUUGACGGAAGGGCACCACCAGGAGUGGAGCCUGCGGCUUAAUUUGACUCAACACGGGGAAACUCACCCGGCCCGGACACUGUAAGGAUUGACAGAUUGAUAGCUCUUUCUUGAUUCGGUGGGUGGUGGUGCAUGGCCGUUCUUAGUUGGUGGAGCGAUUUGUCUGGUUUAUUCCGAUAACGAACGAGACUCUAGCCUACUAAAUAGACAGUACUUCUUUCGAGUACUGCGCUUCUUAGAGGGACAAGCGACGUCUAGUCGCACGAGAUUGAGCAAUAACAGGUCUGUGAUGCCCUUAGAUGUUCGGGGCUGCACGCGCGCUACACUGAAGGCAUCAUCAUGUCUAUCAGCCUACCCCGGAAGGGGCGGGUAACCCGAUGAAACGCCUUCGUGAUUGGGAUAGGGAAUUGCAAUUAUUUCCCUUGAACGAGGAAUUCCCAGUAAGUGCGGGUCAUCAGCUCGCGCUGAUUACGUCCCUGCCCUUUGUACACACCGCCCGUCGCUACUACCGAUUGAGUGACUCCUAAAGGAGUUCGGACUGGGCCCUGUGCGGUCGCAAGACUGCGCAGGUUGCUUGGAAAGUUCUCCAAUGGGAUUUACUUAGAGGAAGUAAAAGUCGUAACAAGGUUUCCGUAGGUGAACCUGCAGCWGGAUCAA
This 1772-nucleotide ribosomal RNA is filed under the name Trichodorus pakistanensis. RNAcentral describes it as "SSU rRNA". It matches the Rfam family "Eukaryotic small subunit ribosomal RNA". The record is from RNAcentral. Lineage: Eukaryota; Metazoa; Nematoda; Enoplea; Triplonchida; Trichodoridae.